Coturnix japonica (Japanese quail) is the source of this 3095-nucleotide non-coding RNA. The record is from RefSeq and is a predicted model, not a curated record. NCBI's taxonomy places the organism in Eukaryota, Metazoa, Chordata, Aves, Galliformes, Phasianidae.
GCCCGGGCGGCCCCAGCGACAAAAAUACCCGGGCGGCUCUGCGGGCCGUUCCGCCGUCCUGAGGGUUAGCGGCGAGUCAGAGAGGGAGAAGGAAAGUAGCCUUCGCUUUUUUGUUCUAGCUUAAAAGAACAGGGAUACGUGCAAGACCGAUUCGGAGAGAACUGUCGCAGGGAAGGAGGAAGCUGGCGUUCAGAUUUUGCCGCUGCGCAGAUCCCAGCAGUACAGACUAACAUGUCACUGCAGACUGUAAAUGACAGAAGAAGGCGCUCACCCGGCAUGGCCAGCUGACUGCAGCCCUCUGACCACAUCUCCAUGGAAAUGGAGGUCAAGCAAUCAACAUUAUUAUACAAGAGGUGAAAGUUCGUUUUUCUGGCAAAAAUAAGGUUCUUCUGUAAACUAACCAGUAAAAACAGAAGAGCUGAAGUGUAUGCAAGAUGUGCCUUUCAUGGGAUCUGGUAUGCAGCCUCUGUCUCCUUGCAAACAAGGAAGAUCGCUCCAUUGGCAGCCCAAAUGGCCACUUGCACUUCCCAGCUGCUGACUGAGCACCAAAGAGCCCUCUGGCCAGAGGCAGAUGAAGACUCUGAGCCAAAAAUAUUCUGUACUUUGUCAUACCUCAGAAUAGGAACAAAAAGGCUGUUACUGUGAUUUCCAGCAAGACAAAAUGUCUAACGAGCCAUGCCGGAAGAAUCAGCAGUCAUUUAAAAACAACAGUAUGGCGUGUAUGCAGCCUUCCUAAGCCUUCUUUAAAAGCACAAACAAAACAAAGGGAAAGAGCAAAGACGGAGGAAAAAUGGACUAUAAGACAAUCCAAGUGGAGCAGCAACUAUGAGAUGUUAUUAAAAAAAACAAAACAAAACACAGAUCCUAAAAUUUUAUAGCCCUGUUUCAAUAAAUCCUGAAGAACUGUGCUGAAAAUUGCACUGAACAACUUCCCGUUUUUUUCCCCCACUUUCAUGUAAGCAUCUAAUGAUACAAUAAACAAAGGGGAUGAGGGGAAAAAAAAAACAACAAAGCUUUUAUGAAGUUUUCAUUAAGCACUAUUAUUAAAAUCCUGACACGGACUGUAAAUUAAACGAGGGAAAGAAAGAAUCUGGAGUUUUUCUUCUGUCUCCACUGCUGUAUUCUAUGAAAAGCUGGUAAGGCUUUUAGUUCAUUAUAAAAGUCAAAAUGGAAAGGUAACAUUUGGAAUUAAGCUUUCUUCCAUAUCAUAAUGAAUUAGUUCACUAAGGCUAACAUCUGCACUUAACCCAUACACCAUUUACCUAUAUAAUCUUACGAAGUUAUUGUGAUUUUACAAGUAAAUCUAUGCUUGCAGUUCCUUUAUUCCCAUAUUUCCUGAAAACAAGCGCUGGUCACACUCUCGUUUGCAGUUAAAUAACAGUAAGAUUGUUUUAAACAUCUUUCAUUACCUUUAGCACAACGCGCGUUGGCAAGAUUUGUCAUCUAUGAUACUAUAAAUGUAAAUGCGAGCACCCGCUUUCUAGUGCUCUGACAUGAAACAAGCUUUGUUCUCCUAACUAGGUCCACAACUGUGCAUUCAGCAAACCGUACUAAAGCUUACGGAUGCAUGAAGUAUUACUACAUGCAAACAUAUCAACUUAUACUCUCAUGUUUGCUUAUCUUUAUACUACUUCCCAAAAUGAUGGCUUUAAAAUAACAUGGUGGAAUACGCGCUAUGAAGUGAAUUUCUCUGUCGAGGGGGGAAAAAAGAAGCAUGUUCAUUUAUAAAUUCAUUCCACUUAACUAAGACGUGAAAUAAAUGAUCCAGAAUGACAUAUUUUCCUAUACUAAUGCAGUUCUUCAAAUGUGCCUCAAAAUUCAGGCCCUAAUUCUAAUUUAGCACAGUAGGUCUCGUUUCAUAGGCUGAGAUGAUUAAAAGGGUCAGCUGCAAUUGUUAGCUUGGAAGGAAAGAGAUCAAAAGUCUAAACACUGGGGCGCUGCAAGUAGCCUUUUCCUGAUGUUGCCAGCUUUUCUAUCUUGAUUUCAACCCAGUACGAUGCUUCACCCCCUGAAAUUACAUCCCCAAUUAAAACAAGACCCUGUUUUAUCAAGCCCUGUGAGACUGGAACCGUAUUGGCAUUAUGGAGGAAAUGGCACAUAUUAAUUUGCACGGCGUUCAGGAAAACCAAUGCGGUGAGUUAUGGUGUUAACAAAGACAAAUGAAGAGGAAGGCCUUUGCUUGGUGUUUUUAUCUGCCUAUAUUUGUUCAAGGUAAACUGAUAGCGGUAACCUAUUUACAUGUAACAAACACACAUCAGAAGCACUUUUCACAUGCACAGAUUCUACAAAAGCCAUCAUGAUUUGUCUUCUUCAAGGGAAGACUUCACAGUGAAUCUAACACACAGCUCUAGCCAGGGAAGGAAGGUUGCAGAGAAUUAAGCAUUACAGAAGAUGUUUUCUUGAAAUCUAACAUCUGAGAGAGAUUUUUGAAACUGUUUCAAACUUCAGGAAAGGAAAACCAGAACAGCCUCCCACACUACAGGCCUGACUUCACUGUGAUUCCAGCACAGCGCUACAGAACAAGCAAUACACUACAGACACCUCGCACUUGAGCAAUGAUGGUACUGAACCACUAGCAAUUAUGGAUGGACCAUAAACAAUCAGACAAAGCAUCCUGAAACCUGGACUAAGCUUAAUGCUAUGAGCCGUGACCGCAUGGAUAUCUGCUUACACAGCAACAGGACCACUCAGAAGCCAGUUUCUAAUAAAGGUUAAUCGUGCUCUUGGUUUUUUGUUUUUGUUUUUGUUUUUAUUUUUUUUUUUGUGUUCUUUUAAAAAGGGAAAGUUGCAAUAAUAGCACUGGAAGCCAGCACCUCCCCAAGCAAGCAGGAGUGGAGACUAGAAGACAAAAGAAGGCAUCUACUGCUAGGCUUCAGAUGUUGCUGGUUGGAAGGAGGUGCUGUCUUUAGUCAGGAUUAUGAAAUCGAGGUCACCCCUCAGGAUGGCUGCUGUGCCCAUGUAAGGGAGUCAUUCUGGGGAAAAAUAAUAUCCUAUCUCACAGGAAUACUUGAGGUAAAAAUAAAGGAAAGAGAAAACAUUUACAGUGUCUCAAGUACUUCCUGAAAUGGUAUCCGAGUAAAUAAUACUCUUUUGUC